Molecule: ribosomal RNA, 425 nt
Filed under: uncultured bacterium
Lineage: Bacteria
Description: bacterial SSU rRNA
Rfam family: Bacterial small subunit ribosomal RNA
Source: RNAcentral
ACUCCUACGGGAGGCAGCAGUGAGGAAUCUUCCACAAUGGACGCAAGUCUGAUGGAGCGACACCGCGUGAAGGAUGAAGGUCUAACGAUUGUAAACUUCUUUUCUGGGGAGGCAUAAUAGAGAGUACUCCCAGGAAUAAGGGACGGCUAAUUACGUGCCAGCAGCCGCGGUAAUACGUAAGUCUCAAGCGUUAUCCGGAAUUACUGGGUGUAAAGGGUUUGUAGGCGGACAUUUAAGUCAGGUAUGAAAGACCGGAGCUCAACUCCGAGUUUGUGCUUGAAACUGGAUGACUAGAAUUAGGGAGAGGUAAGCGGAAUUCUAAGUGUAGGGUGCAAUCCGUAGAUACUUAGAGGAACACCAAAAGCGAAGGCAGCUUACUGGAACUAUAUUGACGCUGAUAAACGAAAGCGUGGGGAGCGAAAAGG